Molecule: ribosomal RNA, 710 nt
Filed under: Pseudomonas aeruginosa
Lineage: Bacteria; Pseudomonadati; Pseudomonadota; Gammaproteobacteria; Pseudomonadales; Pseudomonadaceae
Description: bacterial SSU rRNA
Rfam family: Bacterial small subunit ribosomal RNA
Source: RNAcentral
CUCAGAUUGAACGCUGGCGGCAGGCCUAACACAUGCAAGUCGAGCGGAUGAAGGGAGCUUGCUCCUGGAUUCAGCGGCGGACGGGUGAGUAAUGCCUAGGAAUCUGCCUGGUAGUGGGGGAUAACGUCCGGAAACGGGCGCUAAUACCGCAUACGUCCUGAGGGAGAAAGUGGGGGAUCUUCGGACCUCACGCUAUCAGAUGAGCCUAGGUCGGAUUAGCUAGUUGGUGGGGUAAAGGCCUACCAAGGCGACGAUCCGUAACUGGUCUGAGAGGAUGAUCAGUCACACUGGAACUGAGACACGGUCCAGACUCCUACGGGAGGCAGCAGUGGGGAAUAUUGGACAAUGGGCGAAAGCCUGAUCCAGCCAUGCCGCGUGUGUGAAGAAGGUCUUCGGAUUGUAAAGCACUUUAAGUUGGGAGGAAGGGCAGUAAGUUAAUACCUUGCUGUUUUGACGUUACCAACAGAAUAAGCACCGGCUAACUUCGUGCCAGCAGCCGCGGUAAUACGAAGGGUGCAAGCGUUAAUCGGAAUUACUGGGCGUAAAGCGCGCGUAGGUGGUUCAGCAAGUUGGAUGUGAAAUCCCCGGGCUCAACCUGGGAACUGCAUCCAAAACUACUGAGCUAGAGUACGGUAGAGGGUGGUGGAAUUUCCUGUGUAGCGGUGAAAUGCGUAGAUAUAGGAAGGAACACCAGUGGCGAAGGCGACCAC